Molecule: ribosomal RNA, 506 nt
Filed under: uncultured bacterium
Lineage: Bacteria
Description: partial 16S ribosomal RNA
Rfam family: Bacterial small subunit ribosomal RNA
Source: RNAcentral
AUUGAACGCUGGCGGCAGGCCUAACACAUGCAAGUCGAACGGUAACAGGAAACAGCUUGCUGUUUCGCUGACGAGUGGCGGACGGGUGAGUAGUGUCUGGGUAACUGCCUGAUGGAGGGGGAUAACUACUGGAAACGGUAGCUAAUACCGCAUAACGUCGCAAGACCAAAGAGGGGGACCUUCGGGCCUCUUGCCAUCGGAUGUGCCCAGAUGGGAUUAGCUAGUAGGUGGGGUAACGGCUCGCCUAGGCGACGAUCCCUAGCUGGUCUGAGAGGAUGACCAGCCACACUGGAACUGAGACACGGUCCAGACUCCUACGGGAGGCAGCAGUGGGGAAUAUUGCACAAUGGGCGCAAGCCUGAUGCAGCCAUGCCGCGUGUAUGAAGAAGGCCUUCGGGUUGUAAAGUACUUUCAGCGGGGAGGAAGGGAGUAAAGUUAAUACCUUUGCUCAUUGACGUUACCCGCAGAAGAAGCACCGGCUAACUCCGUGCCAGCAGCCGCCGUAA